RNAcentral lists this long non-coding RNA (4584 nucleotides) under Sus scrofa (pig). RNAcentral describes it as "lncRNA (ENSSSCG00000062200.1)". Lineage: Eukaryota; Metazoa; Chordata; Mammalia; Artiodactyla; Suidae. The record is from RNAcentral.
CAACAUCUCUAAUUAUUAGAGAAAUGAAAAUCAAAACUAUAAGGAUAUAUCACUUUACACCAAUCAGAAUGGCCAUCAUCCAAAAAGUUUACAAACAAUAAAUUCUAGAGGGUGUGGAGAAAAGGUAACCCUCCUUCACUGUUGGUGGGCAUGCAAAUCGAUGAAACUACUAGGAGAACAGUAUGGAGAUUCUUUAAAAUACUAAAUAUAAAACUACCAUAUUAUCCAACAAUCCCACUUCUGGCCAUAUAGCUGAAUAAAACCAUAAUUCAAAAAGGCACAAGAGCCUCAUUAUUCAUUGCAGCAUUAUUCACAAUAUUCAAGCCAUGAAACAACAUAAAUUUCCAUUGACAUAGGAGUGGAUAAUGAAUUUGUGGUAUGUAUAUAAAAUGGAAUAUUACUAAACCAUGAAAAGAAGGAAAUAAUUUAUUUGCAGAAACAUGGAUGGACCUAGAAGUUACCAUAUUAAGUGAAGCAAGCCAGACAGAGAAAGAUAAAUACUAUGCUAUCACUUAUAUGUGGAAUCUAAUAAAAUGAUACCUAAUAACUUAUUCAUAAAACAGAAACAAACUCACAGACUUUGAAACUAAAUUUACAUUUAUGAAAAGGGAAAAUUUGGGAUGAUUUUCAGUUCACACUACUGUAUAUAAAAUAGAUAACUAAUAAGGGCCUAUUGUAUAUAGCACAGAGAGGUCUACUCAAUGUUUUGUAAUAACCUACAUGGGAAAAAAAGAAUAGAUAUAUGUAUAUAUAUAAUUGAUUCAGUUUGCUGCAAACCUGAAGCUAAUACAACACUGUAAAUCAACUACAUGCCAAUUUUUUUAAAAUAUAUCUAAUGAAAAAAUUAAUAAAUAGUUUUAACCUAGAGACAUCAUUUUUUAGCAGGGAAAUACAUUGGUGAACACUGAGAAUUGAAAGAUCAAAAUAGCUAGAGUUUUCCCAAUGUAUCCAGCUGGAGUCUCUUGGUUUGCCAGCAGAAGUUAGCAAUUUUCUGUUUGUUUGUUUUGUUUUUCAACUACUGUUUCUAUUUAUUUACCUUUAUUACCUGAGCUACCUGUGGUCACUGUGACAUCAUCUAGACCUCCUAAGAACUAUGAACUAUAUAUCUUCUCCUUUAGGAAAAUGUGAAAUCACUAGGUCCAAUGCAAAAAUCCUCUGAUUCGUUCCAUACCUCUCUUCUUGAAAUCCCUGAGCAUAUAAAGAUAAUUUGAUUCAAACGAGUUUUAUUGUAUAAUCUCAUUUCUAACUUUAAUUGUUUUUUUAAAAUUUUAUCCACUGACAAUAAAAAUAUUCAAUAGAAACAGAAAGAACGUUGUGAUUAUUCAGAGCUAACUUACACCAAAUCUCUUUAAGCCACUUUUUAUUCUAAAAUUUAAGGAUUACUUAAUAAGUAGGCAGAGUUAGUUAAUUAUUAAGCCUUGGAAGGUAAAUAACUUUAUUCAUAUAGAAAUAAAAAUCUUAAGAUACUUCACUACCUGUAAUACAAUCCCUAUAAUACUGGAGAAUGAUUAUCAUUCAAUUAUUAUUGUAUUUCAGACUAUGGUUUACAAAUUUAGAUUUAAGAUCUGUUUUCAAUUAUACAACCAUUGUAUUUUCAAGCAUUUUUCAACUAAGCUACCAGUAACUUAUUUAAGAUAAAAUAUUUUCUUUGGUAAUUUUAACUUGAUUCAUUGGAGAAUCUAUAGUGAAUAGUCCUAAACACUCUGUAGACUGGCAAUAGAAAAUUAAUAACUUGAAGCAUGGCUGCUUAACCUACGCCUCUAACUGGGAACUCUAUGAUAUUUAUUGACCAGUUAGUUAAUAUCCUUUUAUAUAAAGGCUUCAAAUUUAUAUAGUACUACUGCAUUUUAUGGAGUAUGUUUUAAAAGAUAAAGUAUCAUUUUUCAAGUAAAUUUAACAAAGCUAAAUUCUGCUGGCAAACACUGGAGGCAUAUGACUCAGAGUUUUUUGAACUGAGAUGUAAAAAGAUAAGGUCUUUCCUAGAUGAUACCCAUCAAUCCUUGGUCAGGAGACUAUUCCCAGGGAGCUUAGUUCCCUGGUAAUUCUAACCUUACAUCUAUGUAUUCAGAGCUAAUUCUUGAGUCAGAGAAUGUCCUCUGGCAACAGGAUGCAGGUGCUAAGAUGGAAGAUAUGCUAGAAGGUGGACUGGGAUGCAGGGAAAAUACUCAAAGGAUAAGUAAGUAUUCAGAGGAUAUGUUAAGGCUUUGACAGGAUUCUGUGAUGUCUUCUUCAGGAAACAUUCUUUUAAAAAUGAGAAAUAAAUGAAAGGCAAUACUAUGUAAUGAAUAAUAGGGGUUACUGGAACUGAUAGGCCAGAAGUCAAUUCCAGACUUGGAAUAUACUGGAAAGCUAAACUUGAGAAAAUCAUUUCAUUUCUCUCAGACUGGUCUUCCUUAUCUAUAUAAUGGAGACUAUGGCACUUACCUUAAAAUUUGUAAAACUUAAAAUAAUGAACAUCUAAGAAGCGCUUACAACAGUAAGCGCUACUAAUCAAUAAAUAGUAAAUAUUAAUAUAUUCAUAGGGUAUUUGGUGUUUAUUUAUUUGUUUAUUUUUGAUUUUUUGGGCCACACCUCUGGCAUAUGGAAGUUCAAGGCUAGGGAUCUAAUCAGAUCUAUAGCUGCUGGCUUACAUCACAGCCACAGCAAAAGCCAGAUAUGAGCUAUGUCUUUGACUUACACCACAGCUUACGGCAAACGCCAGGUCCUUAACCCAUUAAGCGAGGCCAGCGAUUGAACCUGCAACCUCAUUGUUCCUAGUCAGAUUCAUAUCCACUGCACCAUUACAGGAGCUCCUGUCUGGUGUUUAAAAUAGUCUGUGUCAUUUAUCAACCUUAGUGUAAUACAAGAAAUCUCCCCCAAGCAUCUUUCUCAGGCAGCUGUUCAACCUUAACUUGAACCCUUCUAGUUACAGGGCAUACACAGUCUAAAAAAGUUUGUCCUUUCCAGUUUGGGGCAGGACUCAUGGCUAACAGGUUCUUUUUUAUGUUGGAACUGAAAUUACUUUACUAAUAAAUAGCCUCAUAGAUUAUAUCAAGAUAAUUACCUUCAUUAAUAAGUAGCCCCAGACCCACAUCUAAUGUUUUCAAGGGACCUGUCAUCUGAGAAACAUAGAAGAUCACAUACCCUUUGUCUCAAAGUUACAAUCAAACUAGCACAAUUGAUACAUAAAAUAUUUUCCAUUUUCCUGUUCUGAAAAGUGUAUCUAUAUAAUGGAAAAAUGAAAACUUAUGUAUUAAGAUGCAACUGAAAGAUACCAGAAUGUAAACUAUAAGAAAAUUUUAUUUCAUUAUAUUUCUCUGAAUAAUCAAUUAUUGAUGAGUCAGAGGUUUCUGCAUGAUUAAUAAAUUAAGAUGGACAUAAUUCAGAUAUUAUUAUGUUUAUUCUAUUCAAUCUUAGCCUGAUUAUUUUUUCAACAUCAUUAACUGUUACAAUCACAAUUUUAAUGUAUUUUUUUUUUCUUGACAGUACUACCAUAUUAGACAUUUCAAAAACAAAUAUUUUUAGAUAAUUUAUUUAAAUAAAGGGUAUUGUUAUGAUUUUUUAUUAGAGUUCAAAGAACAGAUGUUGCGAUAUUUUUCAAAAUAAAUUUUAUUGAGGUAUACUUUGCAAAAAGUGAUACACUUUUAAAAUGUAUAGUUCAUGAGUUUAACAAAUGGUUAAAGUAAUGUAACCACCUAAACAAUGAAGGUAUUUGAUGCUUCCAUCACUAUAAGAAGUUCCCUCAGCCCUAAAUAGCUCUUAUUGAGUUAUUGUAAUUCUUAGUUAUUUUAUAAUCCAACAUGGAAAAUUAUAGACUACUGAGAUAGUAAUCACUGGAAUUGUCAAUAAAAUUCUUAAAUUAAAAGUUAGGCUAAAAAAGGAAUUAUAGAUUUUAAAUAUUAUUCUAAAACAUUUAAUGAGGCAGCAAAUAAUGAAGUAUUACAAAUAUUAUCUUAGAAAAUAUUACAAAGCACUUAAAUUUCAUCUUAUAAAUUGCUAUCUCAAAUUGCCAUUUUCAUCAUCUUAAGAGAUAUGAAAUUAAGAGAUAUGAAAUUAAGAAAAUUAAGAAAAUAAGAGAUAUGAAAUUAAGCAGCAUAUGGUUUCAUAGAUUAUUGCUUUCAUUCAUCUUUCAAAAUUUCAAUGCUAGGAUAUUAUAAAGAAAAUGAAAAUGGCAGCAUGGUGCCAAAUUUCUCUUCAUAUACUUUGAUCUAUAAUUGCCAGAUAUUACUCUCUAUAGACAUCAGUGUUGAGAUUAUUUAUACAUUAAUCUUAUUCUUCAUAGCCAUGGGCAUGGUGCUCAUUUCCUUCUUUUAAUUAUCUUAUUUUUUAUAAUGUUACAUAUGUUGCGUUUUUCCACUCAGAUAUGUUCACUAUUUUUCUAUCUUUGCUGACAUUAUUAAAAGUAGAUAAGAAUUUAUACCAUCAUGUGAAUAGUGCAAGUUCAAACUUAAAUUUUGUUUCUGCUGAAGACCAUGAUUCACUCUUUAUUUGAAGAUCACUCUUGUUUCACUGUUUUUUUCUAUUACAUUUCAUAUCUUGUCUAAAAUAAAUUCAGUUGUUUUAUUUUGAUGAUUAUCUUUGGAAUGAAGUAUUGGAAAAAGAAAC